RNAcentral lists this long non-coding RNA (308 nucleotides) under Lepisosteus oculatus (spotted gar). Its description in RNAcentral is "lncRNA (ENSLOCG00000021028.1)". The record is from RNAcentral. Lineage: Eukaryota; Metazoa; Chordata; Actinopteri; Semionotiformes; Lepisosteidae.
AGCCACACUCCCGACCACAGGACGGGGAGGCUGUGACCUCCAUGCUUGGUGAAAGGCAACCAAGGGCUACCUGCAAAUGUGGAGAUGGGUGGAGGAGGACAGGAAGGGGAGAUAUAUAGGUGAACUGAGGGAAGAGGCUGUAGGCAUCCUUCCUGAGAGCUGGUACACUACAACAGAAUGUAAGGUCACAAGAAAGGCUGGAAAUGAGAGGAGGUCAUUCAGCCUGGAAACAGAAUACAAGACGAAACUACAUGAAAGUCAUUUUAAAUCUAAGACAGGAGGCAUUUCUUUGUACAAAUGGAUGUGGA